RNAcentral lists this ribosomal RNA (492 nucleotides) under uncultured bacterium. RNAcentral's name for it is "partial 16S ribosomal RNA". It matches the Rfam family "Bacterial small subunit ribosomal RNA", at positions 29 to 507 of the family's 1533-position model. The record is from RNAcentral.
AGUGAACGCUGGCGGUAGGCCUAACACAUGUAAGUCGAACGGCAGCACAGUAAGAGCUUGCUCUUACGGGUGACGAGUGGCGGACGGGUGAGGAAUACAUCGGAAUCUACUUUUUCGUGGGGGAUAACGUAGGGAAACUUACGCUAAUACCGCAUACGACCUACGGGUGAAAGCAGGGGAUCUUCGGACCUUGCGCGAUUGAAUGAGCCGAUGUCGGAUUAGCUAGUUGGCGGGGUAAAGGCCCACCAAGGCGACGAUCCGUAGCUGGUCUGAGAGGAUGAUCAGCCACACUGGAACUGAGAUACGGUCCAGACUCCUACGGGAGGCAGCAGUGGGGAAUAUUGGACAAUGGGCGCAAGCCUGAUCCAGCCAUACCGCGUGGGUGAAGAAGGCCUUCGGGUUGUAAAGCCCUUUUGUUGGGAAAGAAAAGCAGCAGGUUAAUACCCCGCUGUUCUGACGGUACCCAAAGAAUAAGCACCGGCUAACUUCGUG